This 718-nucleotide ribosomal RNA is filed under the name uncultured Ascomycota. RNAcentral's name for it is "LSU rRNA". It matches the Rfam family "Eukaryotic large subunit ribosomal RNA", at positions 399 to 1138 of the family's 3401-position model. Lineage: Eukaryota; Fungi; Ascomycota. The record is from RNAcentral.
GUGAAAUUGUUGAAAGGGAAGCGCUUGCAACCAGACCUGCCUGCAGUUGCUCAUCCGGGCUUUUGCCCGGUGCACUCUUCUGCUGUCAGGCCAGCAUCGGUUCGGGCGGUCGGAUAAAGGCUUCGGGAAUGUAGCUCCUCUCGAGGAGUGUUAUAGCCCGUUGCGAAAUGCGGCCAGCCUGAACUGAGGUCCGCGCUUCGGCUAGGAUGCUGGCGUAAUGGUUGUAAGCGGCCCGUCUUGAAACACGGACCAAGGAGUCUAACAUCUGUGCGAGUGUUUGGGUGUCAAACCCGUACGCGUAAUGAAAGUGAACGGAGGCGGGAACCCCUCGGGGUGCACCGUCGACCGAUCCUGAUGUCUUCGGAUGGAUUUGAGUAAGAGCAUAGCUGUUGGGACCCGAAAGAUGGUGAACUAUGCCUGAAUAGGGUGAAGCCAGAGGAAACUCUGGUGGAGGCUCGCAGCGGUUCUGACGUGCAAAUCGAUCGUCAAAUUUGGGCAUAGGGGCGAAAGACUAAUCGAACUAUCUAGUAGCUGGUUCCUGCCGAAGUUUCCCUCAGGAUAGCAGUAACGUUUUCAGUUUUAUGAGGUAAAGCGAAUGAUUAGAGGCCUGGGGGUUGAAACAACCUUCACCUAUUCUCAAACUUUAAGUAUGUAAGAAGUCCUUGUUGCUUAGUUGAACGUGGACAUUUGAAUGUAUCGUUACUAGUGGGCCAUUUUU